This 73-nucleotide transfer RNA is filed under the name Paramuricea clavata. It matches the Rfam family "tRNA". Rfam says of the family: Transfer RNA (tRNA) molecules are approximately 80 nucleotides in length. Their secondary structure includes four short double-helical elements and three loops (D, anti-codon, and T loops). Lineage: Eukaryota; Metazoa; Cnidaria; Anthozoa; Malacalcyonacea; Plexauridae. The record is from Rfam by way of RNAcentral.
GACCGCGUAGCUCAGUUGGCAGAGCAAUGGACUAGUAUUCCAAAGGUCGUAGGUUCGAAUCCCACCGUGGCCA